CAGUAGCCACGGUAAUACGAGGGGGGCAAGCGUUGUUCGGAAUUAUUGGGCGUAAAGGGCGCGUAGGCGGUUUGACAAGUCUGAUGUGAAAUCUAUGGGCUCAACCCAUAGCCUGCAUUAGAAACUGUCGGGCUUGAGUAUGGGAGAGGUGAGUGGAAUUUCCGGUGUAGCGGUGAAAUGCGUAGAUAUCGGAAGGAACACCUGUGGCGAAAGCGGCUCACUGGACCAUAACUGACGCUGAGGCGCGAAAGCUAGGGGAGCAAACAGGAUUAGAUACCCCUGUAGUCCCUGUCUCUUAUAC
This 301-nucleotide ribosomal RNA is filed under the name uncultured bacterium. RNAcentral's name for it is "partial 16S ribosomal RNA". It matches the Rfam family "Bacterial small subunit ribosomal RNA", at positions 509 to 807 of the family's 1533-position model. The record is from RNAcentral.